This 253-nucleotide ribosomal RNA is filed under the name uncultured bacterium. Its description in RNAcentral is "partial 16S ribosomal RNA". It matches the Rfam family "Bacterial small subunit ribosomal RNA", at positions 524 to 776 of the family's 1533-position model. The record is from RNAcentral.
UACAGAGGGUGCGAGCGUUAAUCGGAAUUACUGGGCGUAAAGCGCGCGUAGGCGGCUUUGCAAGUCAGGUGUGAAAUCCCCAGGCUCAACCUGGGAACUGCAUCUGAGACUGCAUUGCUAGAGUAUGGGAGAGGGAAGUGGAAUUUCCGGUGUAGCGGUGAAAUGCGUAGAUAUCGGAAGGAACAUCAGUGGCGAAAGCGACUUCCUGGACCAAUACUGACGCUCAUGUGCGAAAGCGUGGGGAGCAAACAGG